GUGCUCAUUUAGCAUCACCAUGCAUACUAAAAGCAGAGCGACAGAGAUGAGCAUAACUCCUGCACAAAGAUGACAUACAAAUUCGUGAACUGCUCCAUAUUCUU
Jaculus jaculus (lesser Egyptian jerboa) is the source of this 104-nucleotide small nuclear RNA. Lineage: Eukaryota; Metazoa; Chordata; Mammalia; Rodentia; Dipodidae. The record is from RefSeq and is a predicted model, not a curated record.